CAGACUCCCAGCUAUCUUGCUCUGGCAGCUUACUGGUAGCAGACCAAAAUGUUUGGAUGCCUGUUCUGGAAGUUGUUCCAAAUUUGUGCAGCUCCCUAGGUGGACUCAUAGAAGGUUGAACAAUGUUUUGUUAAUCAGAUACAGCAUCCCUACACUUAAAAAAUGCAUAAACAAAAUCUACCUCAUUAGAUGCAUCCUUAUAUGAUUCUUGGCAGUUAGCUGAACACAGAGAUAAUAAGAAACACAAGAAACUGGAUUUUUAAACUUGCAUUAUUGCAGUAUGCAAGAAAUUGAUGAUAUUGUCCCCAAGUGGUCUAACAAUGCACCAAGUGAUUAUGUAGAGAAUUAUAGAUUCACCAAAUUCUUAAAUCAGUAUUUUAAUCAAACAACAUUUGUUAAUUUGAAACUAUUUGAUAUUGUUGAUUGUUCGUAAGUCUAUUUUAGUUAGAGAAUGUUCUCAAUCGGAUUACCAUCCCUCUUUCUUUCAAUUAGGUUCAGCAAAUUCCUGUUAUUACCUUGACAGUGCCCACUGCUGGACAGAGUUAAUUAUUUUGGCAAGAAAUCUCUGUUAUAAAUGGUCCAAAUUUAUCUAUAUGUAUUAUGUAUAUCCCCAACAAUAGAAAAAAACAUUCUGGUCCUCUUCCUCGCUAGCAAAUUUUCGUCAGAGAUAGGGAUAUGCCAAUGACCUUUCUCUGAUUUCUGAGUUUCAGAGGUAGAGGGUGGAACAAUUAGAAAGUCAACAAAGGGCUAGACGAAUCUGAUUGAAAAACUAAAACAAACAGAAUAUCUUGUUGUGAAUAAAUAAUCAAUUAUAUGUCCAAUUAGUACUGUCCAGUUAAAGGUCGAUGCUAGAAUCAUAGAUCUUACAACUGUACUUCCGAAAAGAACCAUUCAGUGUCAGACUUUUAUUAUUGAUAAAUGUCAGGAUCUCAUAUCAUACAAUCAUAGUCCUCCUAGAUUAGGAUUAUACCAAAUUAGUGAACGAAUAAAAUAACUACAAUUUGGAGCUUCAAGUAAAGCAAACGGUUAACUAAAUUCUCUAGUCGACAGCCAUGUUGGUACCUGAAGAAUCACCCUCCCCCUGCUGUUAGUUCAGCACCUCGGUCCCUCGCUCUUCACGCAGCAUCCGAUCCCAAAUCUCCAACCUGGUAGCCAAUUAUGGUCAACAAAUAGUAGCAUGGAAUACUUUUACAACUAAGUUAGAAUCAGAAAAUAAGACAUGCUUACCAUGUUGACGUACAUGACACUGGAACCACUCGUGCAAUCAUUUUCUAGAUGUGUCUCUUUAGGUUCAAAACUGUGAAUUUCAGAGAUGCGCUUCUCUGAAAGUAUAAAGAUGCCAUAUCAGACUCGACACUUGGCUCAACAAAUCGUAUAGUUCGGUGCAAGUAUUUAUACUGCUUUCAUGUGCAAAUCCAAGUGAGAGUAGUAUAUUGGUAAUCCAUAUUUCAGAUGGAAACAGGAAAACUGAAGUGUGAUUUUAGAGGUGAAUACCUUAUCCUCCACCUCAUGGAUAAAACAGUCGCCGUCAGAUGUGUGGUGAAGUGCGGGCCACCAUGCGAUCAAUGCAAACAAGCACACCACUGCCCAUCAUAUUUUGGGGGAAAAUUAUAUAGUAGUGCUCUCCGGCGUUCAUCCUUUGUUCUGUGUUUUCUUUUCACUUCUUCUUUGCAAUUCUUGUUCUUGUCAGGCGUCGUGAAAAAUUGACGAAGGGAAAAACAAAAUAAUAAAGUAAGAACAGAGGCAACGGACGCCAUGGUGUGAGCUGUGAGCACAAAAAUUCCUCUCACUGAAUUUUUACAGCUUGGUCGACCUUUCACUUGGGCCCUUUUUUCACCACAUGCCGACAUCAUUAGCUGUGUGGCGGUGUCGGUGGCGGCGGUGCGGCCGCUAAAGGCAUUCUGCGCGGAUGGCACUGCCACCGCGGAUGACGAAGAUGCUGUCAGUUGCUGUCGAUCUACCACCAAUACAAAUCUUGUUUUCUGAAGAGAAUCUCACCAAACAAUAUCAGACUCGACACUUGGCUCAACAAAUCGUACAGUUCGGUGCAAGUAUUUAUACUGCUUUCAUGUGCAAAUCCAAGUGAUAGUAGUAUAUUGGUAAUCCAUAUUUCAGAUGGAAACAGGAAAACGGAAGUGUGAUUUUAGAGGUGAAUACCUUAUCCUCCACCUCAUGGAUAAAACAGUCGUCGUCAGAUGUGUGGUGAAGUGCUGGCCACCAUGCGAUCAAUGCAAGCAAGCACACCACUACCCAUCAUAUUUUGGGGGAAAAUUAUAUAGUAGAAAGCAUGUGAAUAGAACAAAAAACAUCUACUGAUCUCCAUCCAUCAUGCCAUGUAUGUUGGUUCCCUUGCAGUUCAGGUAAGACAAGACAACCAAAUUAAGCAAUUGAACAGAGAAAGCCAUCCAGCAGGAGCAGAGGAGCGGGAUUGAUCAAGCAGUUGGGAAUCAGUUAAAAAACAAAGAGGAAAGGGGAGAGGCUAGGGUGGAAGUAAGCUCACGGGAAGGUAGUGAACGGAGGGAGCGCAGCGACCGCGGCCAGAGCCUCCGUGUCCGUGUCGCCGUAAGCCUCGGCCGGAUCGGACGCUGCCCCGCCUCCCACGCGUCCUCCUCCUCCCGGCCAUUUCCCGCGGCGGAGAGGAGCGUGAUGAGCAGCUGGUCGCGGUCGGCGGCGUGCGCUCGAACCGGCCGACGCGGGCCAGGAGCGCGGCGGCCUGGGCCUCGCCUUCGGCGAACCGCGCCCGGAGGACUCGGACGACGCGGGGAGGAGGGCGCGGCGGAGAGGAGACAGGCCAGGAUGCGG
RNAcentral lists this long non-coding RNA (2802 nucleotides) under Triticum aestivum (bread wheat). Its description in RNAcentral is "long non-coding RNA (TAES_LNC025466)". The record is from RNAcentral. Lineage: Eukaryota; Viridiplantae; Streptophyta; Magnoliopsida; Poales; Poaceae.